CCCAAUACGGUUAGCGUAGGCAUCCCGAGCAGUCGAGCGGUAGCACAGAGAGCUUGCUCUCGGGUGACGAGCGGCGGACGGGUGAGUAAUGUCUGGGAAACUGCCUGAUGGAGGGGGAUAACUACUGGAAACGGUAGCUAAUACCGCAUAACGUCGCAAGACCAAAGUGGGGGACCUUCGGGCCUCAUGCCAUCAGAUGUGCCCAGAUGGGAUUAGCUAGUAGGUGGGGUAAUGGCUCACCUAGGCGACGAUCCCUAGCUGGUCUGAGAGGAUGACCAGCCACACUGGAACUGAGACACGGUCCAGACUCCUACGGGAGGCAGCAGUGGGGAAUAUUGCACAAUGGGCGCAAGCCUGAUGCAGCCAUGCCGCGUGUAUGAAGAAGGCCUUCGGGUUGUAAAGUACUUUCAGCGAGGAGGAAGGCAUUAAGGUUAAUAACCUUAGUGAUUGACGUUACUCGCAGAAGAAGCACCGGCUAACUCCGUGCCAGCAGCCGCGGUAAUACGGAGGGUGCAAGCGUUAAUCGGAAUUACUGGGCGUAAAGCGCACGCAGGCGGUCUGUUAAGUCAGAUGUGAAAUCCCCGGGCUCAACCUGGGAACUGCAUCUGAAACUGGCAGGCUUGAGUCUUGUAGAGGGGGGUAGAAUUCCAGGUGUAGCGGUGAAAUGCGUAGAGAUCUGGAGGAAUACCGGUGGCGAAGCGGCCCCCUGGACAAAGACUG
Molecule: ribosomal RNA, 720 nt
Filed under: Klebsiella sp. Y1
Lineage: Bacteria; Pseudomonadati; Pseudomonadota; Gammaproteobacteria; Enterobacterales; Enterobacteriaceae
Description: bacterial SSU rRNA
Rfam family: Bacterial small subunit ribosomal RNA
Source: RNAcentral